CCGAGCAAGCCCCCCCGGGGGCGACCUCCAACCCUCUGUUAUCGAACUGCGUUUCCUCCCGGGGCGUGCCCGCGCCCCCCGCGCGCCACCCCCGGGGCGGACCCUUUUCAAAACUCUCGUACCCUUUGCCGUCGGAGUAAACAUGUAAAUCAUAUCA
Molecule: unclassified non-coding RNA, 157 nt
Filed under: uncultured fungus
Lineage: Eukaryota; Fungi
Description: sequence contains ITS1, 5.8S rRNA gene
Source: RNAcentral